GAUGAACGCUGGCGGCGUGCCUAAUACAUGCAAGUCGAGCGAACAGAUGAGGAGCUUGCUCCUCUGACGUUAGCGGCGGACGGGUGAGUAACACGUGGAUAACCUACCUAUAAGACUGGGAUAACUUCGGGAAACCGGAGCUAAUACCGGAUAAUAUAUUGAACCGCAUGGUUCAAUAGUGAAAGACGGUUUUGCUGUCACUUAUAGAUGGAUCCGCGCCGCAUUAGCUAGUUGGUAAGGUAACGGCUUACCAAGGCGACGAUGCGUAGCCGACCUGAGAGGGUGAUCGGCCACACUGGAACUGAGACACGGUCCAGAGUACUACGGGAGGCAGCAGUAGGGAAUCUUCCGCAAUGGGCGAAGGCCUGACGGAGCAACGCCGCGUGAGUGAUGAAGGUCUUCGGAUCGUAAAACUCUGUUAUUAGGGAAGAACAAAUGUGUAAGUAACUAUGCACGUCUUGACGGUACCUGAUCAGAAAGCCACGGCUAACUACGUG
RNAcentral lists this ribosomal RNA (497 nucleotides) under uncultured bacterium. RNAcentral's name for it is "partial 16S ribosomal RNA". It matches the Rfam family "Bacterial small subunit ribosomal RNA", at positions 28 to 507 of the family's 1533-position model. The record is from RNAcentral.